This 169-nucleotide ribosomal RNA is filed under the name uncultured bacterium. Its description in RNAcentral is "partial 16S ribosomal RNA". It matches the Rfam family "Bacterial small subunit ribosomal RNA", at positions 338 to 524 of the family's 1533-position model. The record is from RNAcentral.
CCUACGGGAGGCAGCAGUGGGGGAUAUUGCACAAUGGGGGAAACCCUGAUGCAGCGACGCCGCGUGGAGGAAGAAGGUUUUCGGAUUGUAAACUCCUGUCGUUAGGGACGAUAAUGACGGUACCUAACAAGAAAGCACCGGCUAACUACGUGCCAGCAGCCGCGGUAAU